Panicum virgatum (switchgrass) is the source of this 883-nucleotide long non-coding RNA. RefSeq lists it as uncharacterized. Lineage: Eukaryota; Viridiplantae; Streptophyta; Magnoliopsida; Poales; Poaceae. The transcript has 2 exons. The record is from RefSeq and is a predicted model, not a curated record.
CGCCGGCCUCGUGCGGGUCUGCGGCGUCGGAGCUCGGCCGGCCUCGUGCGGAUCUGCGGCGCCGGAGCUCGGCUAGCCUCGAGCUCGGCCGGCCUCGAGGACGAGGAGUCGCGGCGGCCUCGUGCAGAUCUGCGGCGCCGGUCAGGUCGAACGUGGCGCAGAGGCCCGCGCGGCCCCGCCAGUCUGGGAACCCGAGCCCCCAGGUGCACGGGGGACCCAAGAUUCGUCGGCCCACUGAAUGUGGCCAGCAAUCCAACCACCUUACCUUGCUUUCUUCAUCCAAUUUCUAGGUGUAGAUUGGCGCCACCAGAGGCGCGAUCACGUUUUGUUCAUGCCGAGUUUGUUAAUCCCGGUGGCAAGUGCGCUGCUGGGGGCGUGUGAUCGAUCCAAGAACGAACACAUACAUGCACCAGCACGCGCGGCACCACGGGAAGGUUUGAAAAGUGGAGAACGCAGCACCGCUGGCCAAUGGGCUUUGCUUGCGAUAUGCUGUUGGUGUGUGGAAAAUGAGAGAGAGGCAGGCAGGUCGCCGUGGCUGUCGUGAUCCAUCCUCGCGGAGGCGAGGAAGAAAGGCAUUGCUGCCUUGCUGGGCAUGGCUUUCGGUUUCAGCGUCGUCGUCCACCUCUCCCUUUUGGAGUUAUUCCUCUGUUGGUUCAGGGUGGUGGAGACGCAGGGAAUGGCGACUGCCAUCAGAUCUUGCAAGCCGGGAGACUGGGAGAGCCUGCUGGUUCAUUAUCUGCGUGGUAAAGCUGAUGCUCAGGUGGUGGUAAAAACGAGUAAUUUCGUGCAUGAUUUAACAGUAAAUUUCUUUCCCUUUUUAUUUUGUAAAUUUUUGUCAACGAAAAUAAUUGUUCUAUAAACGCUGCAUGGGGCACAUUCUAAA